ACAUGGUAAUCUCUUCCUACGUAUUGGUAUGAUUCUAAAGAAACAUGUCAUAGGCAUUUAUCGGUAGAUUUCUUCAUUCUCGAGCAACCUCAACAACUUGUCCUCCAAUGUUUUGUCCGUGGUAAAGUCCCACAAGAGGAGCAAGAGCGUUCUCAAGUCCAUAGCAACAAACCCGUGAAUCCUUAUCCUCUUGAACAAUAUUGUGUUUGUUUUAGUUCUUAAUAAUAUAGACAUGAUACUAACCAAGCAGUCCAGUCUAGUAGGAAAGAGGAGCAUAUAGACAUACUAACGUCAAGUUUGGAUGUAAUGGGUGUUUUAAUUGUCGUAUACUCGUCCCAUUUAACCACUGCUCAAACA
This 357-nucleotide long non-coding RNA is filed under the name Brassica napus (rape). Its description in RNAcentral is "long non-coding RNA (BNAP_LNC018778)". Lineage: Eukaryota; Viridiplantae; Streptophyta; Magnoliopsida; Brassicales; Brassicaceae. The record is from RNAcentral.